Molecule: ribosomal RNA, 576 nt
Filed under: uncultured bacterium
Lineage: Bacteria
Description: partial 16S ribosomal RNA
Rfam family: Bacterial small subunit ribosomal RNA
Source: RNAcentral
UGGGGAAUAUUGCACAAUGGGCGCAAGCCUGAUGCAGCCAUGCCGCGUGUGUGAAGAAGGCCUUCGGGUUGUAAAGCACUUUCAGCGAGGAGGAAGGUGGUGAGCUUAAUACGCUCAUCAAUUGACGUUACUCGCAGAAGAAGCACCGGCUAACUCCGUGCCAGCAGCCGCGGUAAUACGGAGGGUGCAAGCGUUAAUCGGAAUUACUGGGCGUAAAGCGCACGCAGGCGGUUUGUUAAGUCAGAUGUGAAAUCCCCGGGCUCAACCUGGGAACUGCAUUUGAAACUGGCAAGCUAGAGUCUCGUAGAGGGGGGUAGAAUUCCAGGUGUAGCGGUGAAAUGCGUAGAGAUCUGGAGGAAUACCGGUGGCGAAGGCGGCCCCCUGGACGAAGACUGACGCUCAGGUGCGAAAAGCGUGGGGCAGCAAACAGGAUUAGAUACCCUGGUAGUCCACGCUGUAAACGAUGUCGAUUUUGGAGGUUGUGCCCUUGAGGCGUGGCUUCCGGAGCUAACGCGUUAAAUCGACCGCCUGGGGAGUACGGCCGCAAGGUUAAAACUCAAAGGAAUUGACGGGGUC